RNAcentral lists this ribosomal RNA (2001 nucleotides) under Triticum aestivum (bread wheat). RNAcentral's name for it is "partial small subunit ribosomal RNA". The record is from RNAcentral. Lineage: Eukaryota; Viridiplantae; Streptophyta; Magnoliopsida; Poales; Poaceae.
GGUGCGAAUCAGUUUCAGCGGCUAGGUGUGUGUUCGAGUGGCUAUCUAUGUGGGCUCGGGCAGUUACCGCCGUUACUCCUGACGUCGCCCCUCGUCGCUCGUACCGCUCGGGCAGCUCGUCGGACACCCCGCGGGUUCCCGUUCGGAGGUGGUACCGCGUCGACUACCCGCACCUGCGCGAGCCCGACCAGAGGUACCAGCACGUCCGGCGGGACCACCGCGCGGCGGUGGCCCUACGGACGCACGCCGAGCGCGUCGUGCACCUCGAGCAACCGCCGGACGAGCCCCUCGACCUCGAGCGGCUCGACUACGCAGCCCUCCGGUGGUCCGCCGGCGACCUCGUCGAGCCGCCGCGCGACGCCGCCACGAUGCGCGACCAGUGCCGCACGGUCCUGACGCCGAUGGACGCGGCGGACGAGGACCCUCGGGCCUACCGGCUCCUCGAGGCGCGGCGCGUCGUACUCUAGCUGUACAAGUAGGUGGAGUAGGGCGAGUAGCGGGAGCAGCUGUUAAGGUGACGUCUAUCAGCGGCACAGUUCCGACUACUCCCCCACGAGUGACAUCAGUGUCUAUCAAGUUUAGCAGUGUAGUCCUAAGGUUUGUUUCCUCGAUGGUUUGAGACACCAUAACCUCUUGUGGGUAAACAUCCUUUUCACCUGGACGCUCUUGUCUUAUAGCAACUGUAACUUCUUGAACACCUCGAAACAUGGGCAUACCUUCUCCGAACGCGUCCUAAGUGUUCCAAGCUAAAGACAGUCUAGAACCUACGAUGUCUUUUAAAGAGUCUCUUCUACUAUCAACCCACCCCUCCUAAACCCUUCCACAUGUUCCCGGUCAACGGACCACCUGAAUUACAACGGUAGUUUUCUCGACUACUCGUGCGUCGUUACGAACUUCAGUUGUCACUUAACGUCGAACGUUUCGAAGUCGUACGGUUACACUAAUCCAAUAACCCCACCACGUAGGUACCCUUUCUUUCCUAAGAUCACAUACUGAAGUACGUUUUACCAAGGAACCUAGCAAUGUAUAUACUGUCUUGUUUUCCCGGUUACGAUUUGACCAGAUUCGCUAAGUUCUAUUAAUGUCCCAAUUGUCUCCCUUAACAAAUGGACGUAUUCGUGAGGUACAAGACCGAACAGGUGUCUCUGAACUUUGGUGUAUUACAGGAGAACCUAACAUUGUACUAGGGUUUCUAACGACUAAAACCAAGUCGAUCUCGUGACUCAAGUCUGUAUCGUCUUCUCGUGUGCUCAUCCCAGCACCCUUGAUCACCAAUGUUUCGGGGUCUCAUACGUAGAGCUCCUCGAAUGAGCGACUUCUGUCUACACAAGUCGAAACCGCAGAACCAAAACCACUAAUAAUCACCGGCUUUCUUAUGGUAUGAGCUGUUCGUUCCCCUAUGACAACCACUAGAACAUGCUCUACGGACCGUAUACACCUUCCUGGUUUCCAACGUACUCGAACACCUAGGCAACAAUCCCCUACCUAUACUUCAGCGGCUCUAUUAUUCUACACGAGUCCACCGCGACGAAACACGAGUCCUUCUAGGGCGUCUGGCCGGGCGGUACUGUCUACAACGACGUUACGACUUGAGACUUUCGUAUUCGAGUGGCUACCUCGGAUUCGUCGGGCGGCGCGACUAGGUACCCACACGACUCUCUCUGUGCUGUAGCUGUAUGCACCCGGUUAGUUCGUCCUGUUAUCUGUAUUGGUAUUGCUCAAGUCGAGGUUACAGCUGGUCUCAAGCUUAGUAAGAUCUGGGUCUCCAAACUAUAUUACCUUUUGUAAGUCAUCAUCGUAUACAUGUUAUUUUUACAUUCGUUCCUAAUACCCGAAAAAUGCUGUGUCCAUCACGUGUAUAAGCUCUAUAAUUCUGGUCAAAACUUAUCACUUCAUUUAUUUGUACAAAGACACCAUGGUUGAUGGUCUGACUAAAAGGUAGUCGAUGUAUAACAUUAAGUUUGCACGCUACAAAGCACAGAACAACGAGGAUAAAAGACG